RNAcentral lists this ribosomal RNA (427 nucleotides) under uncultured prokaryote. RNAcentral's name for it is "bacterial SSU rRNA". It matches the Rfam family "Bacterial small subunit ribosomal RNA", at positions 355 to 774 of the family's 1533-position model. The record is from RNAcentral.
UCGAGGAUCAUUCGCAAUGGGGGAAACCCUGACGAUGCGACGCUGCGUGGAGGAUGAAGGCCUUCGGGUUGUAAACUCCUGUCAUGAGGGAAGAGGAGAGUGUCAUCAAUACUGACGCGAUUUGACGGUACCUCAAGAGGAAGCCACGGCUAACUCUGUGCCAGCAGCCGCGGUAAUACAGAGGUGGCGAGCGUUGUUCGGAUUUACUGGGCGUAAAGGGCGCGUAGGCGGCGAUGUGUGUCGGGUGUGAAAUCCCAGGGCUCAACCCUGGAAGUGCGCCCGAAACUGCAUCGCUCGAGUGCGGGAGGGGAGAUCGGAAUACAGGGUGUAGCGGUGAAAUGCGUUGAUAUCCUGUAGAACACCGGUGGCGAAGGCGGAUCUCUGGAACGCAACUGACGCUGAGGCGCGAAAGUCGGGGGAGCAAACA